Molecule: ribosomal RNA, 440 nt
Filed under: uncultured bacterium
Lineage: Bacteria
Description: partial 16S ribosomal RNA
Rfam family: Bacterial small subunit ribosomal RNA
Source: RNAcentral
CCUACGGGAGGCAGCAGUGGGGAAUAUUGCACAAUGGGGGAAACCCUGAUGCAGCGACGCCGCGUGAGUGAAGAAGGAAUUCGGUAUGUAAAGCUCUAUCAGCAGGGAAGAAAAUGACGGUACCUGAGUAAGAAGCCCCGGCUAACUACGUGCCAGCAGCCGCGGUAAUACGUAGGGGGCAAGCGUUAUCCGGAUUUACUGGGUGUAAAGGGAGCGUAGACGGCAGUGCAAGUCUGGAGUGAAAGGCGGGGGCUCAACCCCCGGACUGCUCUGGAAACUGUAUGGCUGGAGUGCAGGAGAGGUAAGUGGAAUUCCUAGUGUAGCGGUGAAAUGCGUAGAUAUUAGGAGGAACACCAGUGGCGAAGGCGGCUUACUGGACUGUAACUGACGUUGAGGCUCGAAAGCGUGGGGAGCAAACAGGAUUAGAUACCCCAGUAGUC